GAUGAACGCUGGCGGCGUGCCUAAUACAUGCAAGUCGAGCGAAAAGACGAGGCGCUUGCCUCCCUUACGUUAGCGGCGGACGGGUGAGUAACACGUGGAUAACCUACCUCUAAGACUGGGAUAAAUUCAGGAAACCGGUACUUAUACCGGCUAAUAUAUUCAACCGCAUGGUUCAAUAGUGUAAGACGGCUUUGCUGUCGCUUAUACCUGGAUCCGCGCCGCAUUAGCUAGUUGGUAAGGUAACGGCUUACCAAGGCAACGAUGCGUAGCCGACCUGAGAGGAUGAUCAGCCACACUGGAACUGAGACACGGUCCAGACUCCUACGGGAGGCAGCAGUAGGGAAUCUUCCGCAAUGGGCGAAAGCCUGACGGAGCAACGCCGCGUGAGUGAUGAAGGUCUUCGGAUCGUAAAGCACUGUUAGUAGGGAGGAACAAAGGUGUAAGAAUCUAUGCACGUAUUGACGGUACCUAAACAGAAAGCCACGGCUAACUACGUG
RNAcentral lists this ribosomal RNA (497 nucleotides) under uncultured bacterium. RNAcentral describes it as "partial 16S ribosomal RNA". It matches the Rfam family "Bacterial small subunit ribosomal RNA", at positions 28 to 507 of the family's 1533-position model. The record is from RNAcentral.